GCAAAUAAUUUUCUUUAUUACUUUGGACUUGGCUUCUCCAAAGUUAUUUUUUAAGAGAAACUAUUAUCUUCCUAUAUAAAUUGUUCUUGCAGUAUAAAUUCAUGGAAUUAAGUCUCUCUUACUAAAGCAUGUACAAGACACUUGUAGCAAGAAAGAAGCACUGUUAGAGGCUUCUUAAUUAAAUGGCAUUACCAUGUGCAUUAAUACAAAGUUGAUUUCUUCAAUAUAAAGUCCACACACAAAUUCAGGUUUUUUCCCCAAGGUUAAAAAGACUCGGAAUUGCUGGUAUAGGACACCGAUCUGGCUUUUUGUUCACUCAGAUCCAUCCCAUUUUGUAGCUUUUCUAUCUCAUUCCAAGUCAUGAUGUACCACACCGUGAGCCAGUCCUAUGUAUAAUGACUUAAAACUUCAGGCCAUGUCAGGUGUGUGAGUUAACAGGCUUCAGCAUUCACAAGAGGUUCUCACCUUCCAAGUACUCCCCGAGUAAUGAGUCACAUUCUUGGAAAGCAUCUAACUCUUUAUGAUGGAGAUGUGCUUACAUAAAAUGAAAUACUGUAACUUUUUAGUUUUUGGUAUUUAAUAUAAUUAGGGAUGGAAAGCAGGUAAAAUGAGAAUUCACCAAAACUGUAUUGAGCAUCUACUAAUCCCCAGGAAGUGUGCUAAGCCCUGGGAAUUCAAUCACGAUCCAGACAAUUCUUUCCCCUCAAGGAUAUAUGAGUUUUUUUUUGUUUUGUUUUGUUUUGUUUUGUUUUGUUUUUUUUGAGACAGUUUUGCUCUGUUGGCCCAGGUUGGAGUGCAGUGGCGCAAUCUCGGCUCACUGCAACCUCCGCCUCCCGGCUUCAAGAGAUUCUCCUGCCUCAGCCUCCCGAGUAGCUGGGAUUAUAGGUGCACGCGCCACCAUGCCCGGCUAAUUUUUCUUAUUUUUAGUAGAGACAGGGUUUCGCCAUGUUGGCCAGGCUGGUCUCAAACUCCUGACCUCAAGUGAUCCGCCUGCCUCGGCCUCCCAAAGUGCUGGGAUUAUAGGCAUAAGCCACCGUGCCCAGCCUUCUCAAGGAUAUAUGAGAUUUUAACUGAAGUUAUAUUUUGAAGUAGCAGCUUAAAAAGACAUAUUUGGUCUUGACACAUUUCACUUGGCAAGGUCUGAGGAAAAAAAUGCAUCAUAUUUCCCGCCUUUUCUUGUCCAAGAGAUGUUGAGAAGGGCAGUUUAAAUCCUGACUUACUAGCACUGUGAGACAGGACAAAGGCAGCUAGAACAAGUUAUCUAAUCUCUAAUAUAAUCUAAUGCUAUCUAACUAGCAUCAUUAGGUUACAAUGAACAGUUUUCUUUCAUCUCGUCAGUUACUGAGCCUCUGGUAAGAACGACGAGAAUUUAAAAUGUUUUAUCCAGGGCCAACUUCAUGUUUAACAACGUUAUACAAUAAAUUGUUAGAUUUCAUUUACAGACAUAGGCCAGGCAUUCCAAAGCCUGGCUGUAGUUAAGCUGGACACAGUUAAACCAUCUUCGGCAGCCUAUCUAGUUAGUUGACUACAACUAAGGUAUUGGGGAAUGAUGGUGGAUGGGGCCAAUCUUGGUUCAGAGAAAAACCCUCACUCUAGGGGUGGGCCACAAUCAACGCCAGCCAACUCUAUUGGGCAAAAUAAUCUGUUCUCACGAAGCUUUGAGAAGUGCAGACGUGGAGCUGGAGACUGGCAGGCGAGGAGAGGCACAGCUAGAUCAGCAGAACCAGUCCUGGUGAUGGAGCGGGUGGCAGCUGUUGCACAGAUCACCUUUUACCGCCUACCAUCUGAGCAACAUCCAGAAUCAGAAAAAUGUAAAGAACCCUAAAAUUCAUCUCCUUUGGUGAACUGCCUAAAUCCUUUUGCAAAAUUUGGUGUGUAGCUGCAUUUCUUUGGCAAGAAGAUCUGCAGUUCUUACUAGAUUCUCAAAGGAGUCUACGCCUGAAAAAACGAGACUCACCGAUAAGGUUCAACUUUCUCACUUACUAGAUGGAAAACUGAGAGACCCAGAGGAGGAAAAGCAGUUGCCUCAAGACAAACAGCAGCGAUAUCAAAACCGAAGGCAUUUCAAUUCAAUUCUAAUUCCAGCUUCACACUAUUGACCCUGGCCACGUCCAAUACCUCUUCGCUUCUCUGCAGGCCCUAAAAGAUCACCAGGAGGCGAGGGCUGGUGUCCGAGUCCAGGAGAGGUCGCAGGCAGUCCAGAUUCUAGCAUCACAGAAACUCUGGCCAAGCGCUCAGCCGGGUAUUGGCUGCCAUAAAGACCCCCUGUCCUUGUCCCCGCCCCGCGGAAUUCCGCUGCAUAGGUGACUCCAGGUAGAGGACCAAGCACAAGGAGAUCCCGGGGCGGUGGAGGCAGAGGACGACUGUGAAGAAUGACGCCUACUCAC
Molecule: long non-coding RNA, 2387 nt
Organism: Pongo abelii (Sumatran orangutan)
Lineage: Eukaryota; Metazoa; Chordata; Mammalia; Primates; Hominidae
Source: Ensembl